This 468-nucleotide ribosomal RNA is filed under the name uncultured bacterium. Its description in RNAcentral is "partial 16S ribosomal RNA". It matches the Rfam family "Bacterial small subunit ribosomal RNA", at positions 28 to 507 of the family's 1533-position model. The record is from RNAcentral.
GACGAACGCUGGCGGCGCGCCUAACACAUGCAAGUCGAACGGAGCUGAGAGAAGCUUGCUUUUCUUAGCUUAGUGGCGCACGGGUGAGUAACGCGUGAGUAACCUGCCCUGGAGUGGGGGACAACAGUUGGAAACGACUGCUAAUACCGCAUAAGCCCACGAUCCGGCAUCGGAUUGAGGGAAAAGGAUUUAUUCGCUUCAGGAUGGACUCGCGUCCAAUUAGCUAGUUGGUGAGGUAACGGCCCACCAAGGCGACGAUUGGUAGCCGGACUGGGAGGUUGAACGGCCACAUUGGGACUGAGACACGGCCCAGACUCCUACGGGAGGCAGCAGUGGGGGAUAUUGCACAAUGGGGGAAACCCUGAUGCAGCGACGCCGCGUGGAGGAAGAAGGUUUUCGGAUUGUAAACUCCUGUCGUUAGGGACGAUAAUGACGGUACCUAACAAGAAAGCACCGGCUAACUACGUG